This 433-nucleotide ribosomal RNA is filed under the name uncultured bacterium. RNAcentral's name for it is "partial 16S ribosomal RNA". It matches the Rfam family "Bacterial small subunit ribosomal RNA", at positions 29 to 507 of the family's 1533-position model. The record is from RNAcentral.
AACGAACGCUGGCGGCAUGCCUAACACAUGCAAGUCGAACGAGACCUUCGGGUCUAGUGGCGCACGGGUGCGUAACGCGUGGGAACCUGCCCUUAGGUUCGGAAUAACUCCCCGAAAGGGGUGCUAAUACCGGAUAAUGUCUUCGGACCAAAGAUUUAUCGCCUUUGGAUGGGCCCGCGUUGGAUUAGCUAGUUGGUAGGGUAAAAGCCUACCAAGGCGACGAUCCAUAGCUGGUCUGAGAGGAUGAUCAGCCACACUGGGACUGAGACACGGCCCAGACUCCUACGGGAAGAAGCAGUGGGGAAUAUUGGACAAUGGGCGAAAGCCUGAUCAAGCAAUGCCGCGUGAGUGAUGAAGGCCUUAGGGUUGAAAAGCUCUUUUACCCGGGAUGAUAAGGACAGUACCGGGAGAAUAAGCGCCGGCUAACUCCGUG